CAAAAUAAGCUCCCUUUGCACUUUACUGGCACUGGCAGUACUUAACUUCGAAAUUGAGGGGGCUCAGUUCUUUUAUUCAUGAUGAUGCUGCACAUUACCACCUUUAGGGCUUUUAGCCGGUAUCUUGGUCUUUCAAGAACAAUCCCAACAAUUCAGACAUCAUGCGGAUCCUUUCACACAUUAUUGAUGGGAGAGUAAUAGAAGAGUACUCCUACACCUACACUAGUGCCCUUGCUGGUCUCUUGUACUUGAACAGAGAAACAGUAGUGGUACUGGUACAGUGGUACCUGCCCUGUACCAAUACACAAUAUCUGAAGACUGGAGGAGAAAAUGAAGAGAGAAAUAAAUUGCAUCACCUGGUCACAAGUAUUCUUUUUCAGGGCUUCAGGCAGAGUCACAACUCUGCUCAUCAGUUCGUUGCCACACUAGUGAAAACUCCAUUACUGCUGCAUUUCACUACUGUUGUUUUGUGCAGUAAAAAUGGAAAGUGAAGAGAGCAUGCACCAGGAGACACAUGAGGGACAAGCUUGCAACAGUUUUCAGCCAUCCCAUGUGAGGUCACUGUACGCAUGCAUGGCCUGUAUAGGGGUGGUUGGUUUGAUCAGUCUCAAGUCUGAACUUGUGCAGUUCAUCGUCUCUUUCUGCUCCGUGUGCAAUGCUGGUUAUCGCGCGCGCAUGCGAAGGUAGCCGCAGGCUGCUGGUUUGGCGUUAAAGCCAGACAAACUUGCACUGGCCACACUUGAGAUCACAUUUCUGCUUGUGCAGCCUGCGGUGAAAAAAAGGUGUGUUUGUGUUUUGUUUUCACUUGGAAUCUCAUGGCCCAUCUGUCUGCUUAGUACUGGUAAAAAACGAGUUUACAUGAUGCUGGCCACUUUAUUUACUGUUGCCUUUGCUGCCUGCCCUGCUAGCAGUAGAACCAUGGAAUGUGAAUCAUGAUGUUGUUGUACGUGCAUGGAGAGAGAAAAAAAAGGUGUGUGAUUUGGGGAGACUAAUUACUUUGAUUUGUUAACACUAUCAGCAUGUGGUUACAUCUCUC
Sorghum bicolor (sorghum) is the source of this 1036-nucleotide long non-coding RNA. RefSeq lists it as uncharacterized. Lineage: Eukaryota; Viridiplantae; Streptophyta; Magnoliopsida; Poales; Poaceae. The transcript is spliced from 2 exons. The record is from RefSeq and is a predicted model, not a curated record.